GGAAGGGAUGAGACAGCACGGAGGGGAGCGGACGGUGGGUCACUGGCACUGGCGGCCUCGGGAGCGCUUCUGUGGCAAGAACCUUGCAUGGUACCUGGUGAAUCAGGGUCUCCCAGAGGUUGGAGGGCCUUUUCUGUGUCUGAGGACCCUGACAUCAUUUGAAGCCAGAACAAAUGACAAAAUGAGGUUCUACAAAAAAUCAUCAUAUACUUGAAUUGGUAAGUGGAAGGAAUUAAUGCUUUCCCCACAUUUGCCCCAAAAUAAACAUGCACAUGCUCUUCACAAGAUAGUUACAGACCUAUUAAAAAAUUACUCUAGGUGGCUCAGUGGUUAAGCAUCCGACUCUUAAUUUCAGCUCAGGUCGUGAUCUCAGGGUCAUGAGAUAGAGCCCUGAGUUGGGCUCUGUGCUCAGCCUGGAGUCUGCCUGG
RNAcentral lists this long non-coding RNA (428 nucleotides) under Mustela putorius furo (domestic ferret). Its description in RNAcentral is "lncRNA (ENSMPUG00000026976.1)". Lineage: Eukaryota; Metazoa; Chordata; Mammalia; Carnivora; Mustelidae. The record is from RNAcentral.